UACAGAGGGUGCGAGCGUUGUCCGGAAUCACUGGGCGUAAAGGGCGCGUAGGCGGCUCAGUAAGGUUGCGGUGAAAGCCCGGGGCUCAACCCCGGGUCGGCCGUGGCAACUGCUGGGCUGGAGCACUGUAGAGGCAGGUGGAAUUCCGGGUGUAGCGGUGGAAUGCGUAGAGAUCAUGAGGAAGACCAGUGGCGAAGGCGGGUCUCUGGACAGUUCCUGACGCUGAGGCACGAAGGUCAGGGGAGCAAACGGG
This 253-nucleotide ribosomal RNA is filed under the name uncultured bacterium. RNAcentral describes it as "partial 16S ribosomal RNA". It matches the Rfam family "Bacterial small subunit ribosomal RNA", at positions 524 to 776 of the family's 1533-position model. The record is from RNAcentral.